UUUUCCUUACUCAGCAGCCACAAUACGCACGGUUUCCUUUCUCCUUUUCCAUGAAAGGAAGGAAACAGAAGCAGAAAGUGAAAUUGAGGGAGAAGGAAGAAGGUUCGCUGGCGUGGAGGGGGAAGGAGGCUCACCGCGCCGCCGUCGCCUCGUUUAGCUGCCGCCUUGCCGCCGCCAUGGCGCACUGAAGGGAGAGGGAGAGUGAUCAGGCAGAGAGAGGAGACCGAGGGCGAGGGAGCGCGCCAAGGAGAAGAAGAGGCGUGGCUUGGUCGCCGUCCCUAGACGCCGUCGCGUCAGGCGCAGGGGUGACCACCGUCGCUGCAGAGAGGCCGCACUGCCACCGCCGAAUCCUCGCCGCCAGCUUCGUCGGAUCGGGUCGUCAAACCCGUCCUUUCCGUGUCGUUGAGGUCGCAAGCAGGAGCGGGAGAAGAAGAUGUAAGCCAAGGCCGAAGCAGAGGAGGCGCCGUGCCUGGUAGCCGCCGUCCCGUCACCGUCGUCUACCUCCGUCUCUGUUGAUCUGCAACUCUGCGGUGCUUAGUUAGAGCUUCUGCUACUGUCGCCGGAGCUUCUAUGGCCACCGGAAGCUGCUGCUGCCCAACCAGCUGCAACUGGGGUUGUCUCCUGUCGUGUAUGGCUGCAGAAGAAGUUGAUGUGGCCGCCGGAACCACCGUCGGAGCUACUGGUUACUUCUGCCGUCGCCGGAAAGUAUGCCGUUGAUCCACCGGAGCUUCUGGCCGCCGCUGGAGCUGUUACCGGGGCCGGUUCGGAAUCGCAGCUGCCUCAUUGUAUUAUUCCGUGUUGCUAUGGUUAUUGCGAAAGUGGCUGGGAGCUGAGGUUUUGGUUGCCGUCAGUUCGGGUUGAGGCGGAGAGGACUCUGUGAGAAAUUUUGGUUAUGGAAUUUGCGUUUUGAGGAUUUGGACGCAGAAGUUAAGAAGAGUUUAAUUAUUUGUUAUUGAGAUGCUCUGUAUUGUUUUAGUUAUGGUUUAUCGUACCCUCGCCUUUAUCUUAUUAUAUUCUGUAAGAGGGAUAGGAAUUGUAUUGGCUAAUGUCUGUAAUAUUAUUUAUAUAUAUGUACGUAUAUAUAUGGAUGUACUCUUUAUGAGUUUCUGUAAGUUGUAUGGUGUGUAUGGACGUACGUUGUAUGGCGAAAGUAUUUUUGGGAAUGGUAUUGCGGUUUAAAGUUUUUAAACAGGCUCAUAUUUUAGUAUUAAAUAGUAUAAGUGUCGUCGUAAUGUCCGAGCUAUCAGAGUUGCGCAGCCGGAAGCGUGAGCUUUGGUAGCUAGGGUGUUACAUUAUGGUAUCAGAGCAGUUCUUCCUGUAGAGCCUGAGGAAUGGACUGACUAUGCUUCAAUUGCAUGCUCUGAGCGUUUGUCAUGUAUUAGGUCUUGUCGAAUGAUGAGAAUUAGAGCUUUAUGCACAUGACGGUCUAUUGAUUAACGCUGUUAGUCUUGCAUUGCAUAAUUCUUGGUAUUAAGUUUGGCCGGCUUAAUACUAGUGAAUUAUGUAUAUGAGAGCACUAAUGGGUUAUCAUAGAUAGUAUACGAGUUUUGGAGUAAAGCAAAUCGCGGGUUUUGGGAACGCUAGAAACUAUUUCUCGAGGCUAUUCAGUUGUGUAUCUUGAAUUCUGUUCGAGUCGACCUGUUCUUUCAUGUUCUAACUUGAAGUUCUUGUCUGCUAAUCCUUUUGAAAAGUAGUUUGAUUUUUCAACUCUAUUCCUCUAUCCAUAUGCAUUCUUGUUUGACCUUAAGUGCAUAUGCUGGUUUAAGAUCCUUGUUGCAUCUAUCUUUCUCUGUUUGAGUUCUUCUUGAUUCAAGUAUUCUUUGAUAUAACCUUGAACCUGUCUUAAUGUGCUGUGACUUUUAACUCUGGGUUCUGAGUCCAUUCUUUGAGAAAUUGUUGAUUCAGUUUUUCUCUUACUUGACAGUGAUCACAGCCAAUUUUGAGAUUUUAUAAAUUGCCGUUGAUUAGAUAUAUACUUUUCUAUAUAUGAGACUCUGAAAUUAUUUAUACGGUUUAACAACUAUUUCCUUCUAAUAUCUUGCCUGUACUUUUGCUGGUUUACAUAAUUGCACUUACUUUAAAAGUAAAUUUGACUUUCUAGUAAUUUUACUAUAGUUCCAAUGGACAUCUUUAAUUGAUUGUGUAUUUGGAUAUAUUUCGAAAUUCUGGAAAGAAAGGAUUUCUCGCUUUUAUCCCGGUUGAGUUUCGUUUGAUAAACUUUACUUAAUUCAUUUUGAAUUGAGUUUGAUUCAGCAUGCUAUAGGGUUUAUGCCAUUAUUGUUCUUUUGAAAAUGUUGGACUCAUAGCUUUCUUCUUAUGAACGGACUCGUUUCUUCUUAAGCUUUUCAUCUCUAUGAAUGUCAUACGUAAUUCUGUUUUUAACUAAUCUUUUACAUCUUGUGAAAUUAUCAUUAAUCUUGGUUUGUCCUUUCUUGUGAAUCUCAUCCGUAUGUGAGUCAGUUUGAUUUGUUUCAAAUGAGUGCAUUGUUUAUUCUCUCAUUUUCUCUACAAGAGUUUUUAGUUAAAGAUUUAUCCUUGAGAAAUUACUAAUGAUUGAGUUGUCUUUUCCUUAUGACUUUUGUAUUCUUUUGGAUCAAUCGAAAGCUUGUUUGAUGACUCAUGCCUAGUGAAUCUUGUUUGAACAACUUUGGUUUAAGAUCCUUUUUUGUCUGGCUUGACUCCUUUCCAAGUACAUCCUAAUAUCCUUGAAUAUCCUUUUGGAAAUGGUGAUUUUAAGUAUACUUUUGGAGUCUUGUUUUAAACUUUUAAGGAAGUUUUGAAUUCGCUUUGAGUAAAUUCUAAACGGAAUUUAUUUUCUGUUGCAUGAUUAAGAUUGAAACCAUUGUUCAAUUUUGACGAAAUUAAUUUAAAGUUGGCAUGCGCUAUUUUAAAUGAAGUUCUGAAAAGUUUCCUUGCUUAUUGAAAACCGGUUCGUUUGUAACGCACCACUCAUCUCCUUUAUCAAAUUGUAAGCAAAUUGGUGUCUCGGAGUUUCUUUUCUAAAAAGAGUUUAACUUCCUCUUUCAGUCUUGCUAUGAAUGUUAUACACGCUUGUUUAAAUAUGAGCUUUGGAAAUUUUUGAACAAGCAUUUGAUUUCUUUUGAGUUUUAUGAAUUACUUUUGGUCGAGUUGUGCACCUAACUAUCUUUCUAAAAUAUUUGAGGAAAUACUUUUGCUCUUAGCCAAAACCUGUGUACAGUUUGUUUUGAAAUUCUACAUGAUCUGUUUCAACAUGAAAUUGUAUUAAAGCAAAGCCACGUUUAUGUUUUUGUUACUCUUUUGAAGGAUGUUUGUUGCUUAACCUUCUUUUAAACUGCGAGGUGACUUUCUUGCAAGUUUUUGAUUCUUUUAAAAACAAUGUAUUCGAAAGUAUUUGUAAUCGUGCUCUUGAGUUCUGUGAGCUUUGUAUUGGGUUUGAAAUAUUCUCUUCUAUAAACCUCAUACUUCAUCGACUCAGCUUGAAUUUGUUUCAAACCAAUGCGCUGAUUCUCCUUCUUAUUGAUCCUAUUGGAUUUCCUUGAUCCAAGGGUUAUCUUGAAGUUGUCAAUUGAAUUGAGUCUAGCAAACUUCAUUGCUUGAGUGUCCUUGUUUAUUUGGAAUUGGAUACAUUCUCUCAAAUCUUUGAGUACUAUCUUUGACAUUUGACUCUCCUUUCUAAAUCUUGUAUCCUUCUGAGUAGACUCGAGAAUUGUUUUGAUAUCGCGUGCGACUUAUAGACGUAGUGACGCGAUGCGUUAGUUCUUUAAGACGUGAUAUGUGUAUAUGGAAGCUGAAACGGUAGGUGUGCAGCGUUACGAGUGGUGGGUGUUUUGAUCCUUGCGAACGGAUUUCUGGUUGUCAGGCUAAUGAUCGAAAUUGGGGUUUGUAAGGUGCUUGAUGGAGUUGGAAAGUUAAAACUUUGAGGUUGAUAUGAGAUUAGUGUGCGGAGGUUAAGCACGUCGUUUUAACUCCAUCCUGUUUAAUAGCCUUUGAUGCCUUGCCCUUCUAUCACAUGAUUGACCCAUGUUAUCUUUUGCAUUGAGCCUACCUUGAAACGUUUGCUUUACAAUCACACUCCUACCUUUACACCCUUACGCUUAUGACAAUCAAAGUAUUUGAAAAUCGUAUAUAUGAUUAUAUUUUGAGAUAUUUUUGCUUCUUCCUUAAAUGUGUUCAAAGGUGAACUGUUAUGGAAUUUCUUUAAUUUUGUAUCAAUUUUCGAGGGCGAAAAUUUUUAUAAGGUGGGUAGAAUGUAAGACCCAGAAUCUUUGAAAAGUCUUUUUAUGAUCAAGUCUCAAAUCAUAUAGUUAUUUAUAGCCUUAAUUUCAGAGACUAUUUUAUUAAGGAUAAUUAAGGCAAGUUUUGAUUUAUUGGAUUUGAGAUGAGUUAUGAUUAUCAUCCAAUUUUAUAAUUAUUGGAUUAUUUUCUAUAUUUGAAUUAUAAAGUUGAUAGUUAUGAAAUAAUAAGGAAUUUUGUAUGAUUUGGAUUAGAUAAGUAAUAUUUUAAAUAUUAAUACUACUAUUUUGGAAAAUGAAGAAAUUAAGUAUAUUAAUUCUAAUUAUUUGAUUUGAACAUUUUAUUGAAAAUAAAAUGUGAAAUUGUUGAGCAAAUAGUAUUUUAUAUAUUAUUAGUGUUGGAUUUAAUUUGGGUUUCAAUUACUAUAUUGUCCCUACUUUUAUUUGAAAUUACAAAAUUACCCCUAGACCUAUUUUAACUCUAAACCCUAAUUUUUGAAAAUGAAACCCUAACCCAGAAAAAUCCUAACCCGACCCAUUUUCCUCCAAGACCCAACCGUAGCACCAUAGUGUUUCCCUUACUCAGCAGCCACAAUACGCACGGUUUCCUUUCUCCUUUUCCAUGAAAGGAAGGAAACAGAAGCAGAAAGUGAAAUUGAGGGAGAAGGAAGAAGGUUCGCUGGCGUGGAGGGGGAAGGAGGCUCACCGCGCCGCCGUCGCCUCGUUUAGUUGCCGCCUUGCCGCCGCCAUGGCGCACUGAAGGGAGAGGGAGAGUGAUCAGGCAGAGAGAGGAGACCGAGGGCGAGGGAGCGCGCCAAGGAGAAGAAGAGGCGCGGCUUGGUCGCCGUCCCUAGACGCCGUCGCGUCAGGCGCAGGGGUGACCACCGUCGCUGCAGAGAGGCCGCACUGCCACCGCCGAAUCCUCGCCGCCAGCUUCGUCGGAUCGGGUCGUCGAACCCGUCCUUUCCGUGUCGUUGAGGUCGCAAGCAGGAGCGGGAGAAGAAGAUGUAAGCCAAGGCCGAAGCAGAGGAGGCGCCGUGCCUGGUAGCCGCUGUCCCGUCACCGUCGUCUACCUCCGUCUCUGUUGAUCUGCAACUCUGCGGUGCUUAGUUAGAGCUUCUGCUACUGUCGCCGGAGCUUCUAUGGCCACCGGAAGCUGCUGCUGCCCAACCAGCUGCAACUGGGGUUGUCUCCUGUCGUGUAUGGCUGCAGAAGAAGUUGAUGUGGCCGUCGGAACCACCGUCGGAGCUACUGGUUACUUCUGCCGUCGCCGGAAAGUAUGCCGGUAAGGGUUUUAAUUUGAGGUUUUGGUCAUUUUGGAUCUUGAGAAGGUUUUAAUGCUGCGCGGUUUUUAUAGUUGAUCCACCGGAGCUUCUGGCCGCCGCUGGAGCUGUUACCGGGGCCGGUUCGGAAUCGCAGCUGCCUCAUUGUAUUAUUCCGGUAAGAAAUUAUGUUUCGAAUAAUCUCGCGUUAGUAUUCUGUUGUGUUUGAUUAAUGAAUGAGUCUUGGUAAUGUGGGAUCGAGUCCUGAUUAUUAUAUGUUGCGAUUAGUGUUGCUAUGGUUAUUGCGAAAGUGGUUGGGAGCUGAGGUUUUGGUUGCCGUCAGUUCGGGUUGAGGCGGAGAGGACUCUGUGAGAAAUUUGGGUUAUGGAAUUUGCGUUUUGAGUAAUUCCCAAAAACCCUCUACUGAGAACCCUUUCGAGGAUGAUGUUCUCACCCCCCUACAUUUUUCCCCUUUCAGGAUUUGGACGCAGAAGUUAAGAAGAGUUUAAUUAUUUGUUAUUGAGAUGCUCUGUAUUGUUUUAGUUAUGGUUUAUCGUACCCUCGCCUUUAUCUUAUUAUAUUCUGUAAGAGGGAUAGGAAUUGUAUUGGCUAAUGUCUGUAAUAUUAUUUAUAUAUAUGUACGUAUAUAUAUGGAUGUACUCUUUAUGAGUUUCUGUAAGUUGUAUGGUGUGUAUGGACGUACGUUGUAUGGCGAAAGUAUUUUUGGGAAUGGUAUUGCGGUUUAAAGUUUUUAAACAGGCUCAUAUUUUAGUAUUAAAUAGUAUAAGUGUCGUCGUAAUGUCCGAGCUAUCAGAGUUGCGCAGCCGGAAGCGUGAGCUUUGGUAGCUAGGGUGUUACAUUAUAGGAUAUUAUAAAGAUAAUACAGAAAAUUAUAUAAAUUUUUUUAUUAAACAAAAUUUAAAUGAAACAAUAUUUAACUGAGUUAGAAAUUAUAUUAUUUCUUAAUAUAAAAUUAUAGCAAGGGAAUAAUUAUUACAGGUAGGGAAUAAUAAAAAAAUUCUUCCU
Long non-coding RNA from Arachis stenosperma, 6502 nucleotides. RefSeq lists it as uncharacterized. NCBI's taxonomy places the organism in Eukaryota, Viridiplantae, Streptophyta, Magnoliopsida, Fabales, Fabaceae. The record is from RefSeq and is a predicted model, not a curated record. The transcript has 5 exons.